RNAcentral lists this ribosomal RNA (501 nucleotides) under uncultured bacterium. Its description in RNAcentral is "partial 16S ribosomal RNA". It matches the Rfam family "Bacterial small subunit ribosomal RNA", at positions 30 to 523 of the family's 1533-position model. The record is from RNAcentral.
AUUGAACGCUGGCGGCAGGCUUAACACAUGCAAGUCGAGCGGAGCGAGGGUGCUUGCACCUUAGCUUAGCGGCGGACGGGUGAGUAAUGCUUAGGAAUCUGCCUAUUAGUGGGGGACAACAUUCCGAAAGGAAUGCUAAUACCGCAUACGCCCUACGGGGGAAAGCAGGGGAUCUUCGGACCUUGCGCUAAUAGAUGAGCCUAAGUCGGAUUAGCUAGUUGGUGGGGUAAAGGCCUACCAAGGCGACGAUCUGUAGCGGGUCUGAGAGGAUGGUCCGCAACACUGGGACUGAGACCCGGCCCAGACUCCUACGGGAGGCAGCAGUGGGGAAUAUUGGACAAUGGGCGGAAGCCUGAUCAAGCCAUGCCGCGUGUGUGAAGAAGGCCUUUUGGUUGUAAAGCACUUUAAGCGAGGAGGAGGCUACUUAGACUAAUACUCUGGGAUAGUGGACGUUACUCGCAGAAUAAGCACCGGCUAACUCUGUGCCAGCCGCCGCCGUAA